This 84-nucleotide small nucleolar RNA is filed under the name Carlito syrichta (Philippine tarsier). RNAcentral describes it as "Small nucleolar RNA SNORD60 (ENSTSYG00000034013.1)". It matches the Rfam family "Small nucleolar RNA SNORD60". From Rfam's summary of the family: U60 belongs to the C/D class of snoRNA which contain the C (UGAUGA) and D (CUGA) box motifs. Most of the members of the box C/D family function in directing site-specific 2'-O-methylation of substrate RNAs. The record is from Rfam by way of RNAcentral. Lineage: Eukaryota; Metazoa; Chordata; Mammalia; Primates; Tarsiidae.
AGACCUGUGGUGAAUCGCUUUAAUAUCUGACGCCUCAUAUGAAAAUUGCACAUGUAGUCUGAUUAUUUUACAAGACUGAGGCUU